CUUGUGGUCUGAUGAUAACAGCUAUGAAAAUGCUUCCUUCCUGCUCCCAGAGCUCCAGACAACAUUUUCUUUGCUAAUGUAGAUGUGGUCGAUAAUAGAAGAAAAGGCCCAGGGCUAAGUAGUCUCUCAACUGCUGGGUCUUCAUAAUUGUGACUGAGUGAUGCUGGUCCGACUGUCACGGGUGACCUGCCCCAGUCAAUAGGAGAGGAAAUGUGGCUGUGUCAGCAGGUCUGGCAGAGGGGAUGUGAACCCACUGACAGAGACUGGAGGGGAGCCACAUGGAUGCUAUAUUCAGCGCUGGGUUUACAUGUCUGUCCCCUGCAUCUUAAUUAAGGCUGGCGUGGGAGGGGAGAUCUCUCAAACAACAAGAUUACUGCCGUUCUCCUGCUUUGUGGGAACUGGGCUAUUGACUGACGCAUGGGUGUCAGAGAGCACAAAGCGCAGACCCAGACUACAAAAAAGACAAGGGGGGCA
This is a long non-coding RNA of Scomber scombrus (Atlantic mackerel), 474 nucleotides long. RefSeq lists it as uncharacterized. The record is from RefSeq and is a predicted model, not a curated record. NCBI's taxonomy places the organism in Eukaryota, Metazoa, Chordata, Actinopteri, Scombriformes, Scombridae. The transcript is spliced from 4 exons.